This is a small nucleolar RNA of Lupinus angustifolius (narrow-leaved blue lupine), 107 nucleotides long. It matches the Rfam family "Plant small nucleolar RNA R71". Rfam says of the family: R71 is a member of the C/D box family of snoRNAs containing the C (UGAUGA) and D (CUGA) box motifs. Multiple nearly identical copies of this snoRNA have been identified in Arabidopsis, and it is thought to function as a 2'-O-ribose methylation guide for 18S ribosomal RNA. Lineage: Eukaryota; Viridiplantae; Streptophyta; Magnoliopsida; Fabales; Fabaceae. The record is from Rfam.
AUCUGAUGAUGAAGGCAGCUUGCACGUAGCCUCUUGAAUCUCUCUCAAUAAUCAUAUAAACUUUCUACAUAUAGUUGUCUGAUUCCAGAAAUAUCUUUUCUGAAUGC